GCGGCUGUAGCGCGGUGGUCCCACCUGACCCCAUGCCGAACUCAGAAGUGAAACGCCGUAGCGCCGAUGGUAGUGUGGGGUCUCCCCAUGCGAGAGUAGGGAACUGCCAGGCA
This 113-nucleotide ribosomal RNA is filed under the name Citrobacter werkmanii. The record is from RNAcentral. Lineage: Bacteria; Pseudomonadati; Pseudomonadota; Gammaproteobacteria; Enterobacterales; Enterobacteriaceae.